RNAcentral lists this ribosomal RNA (631 nucleotides) under uncultured bacterium. RNAcentral describes it as "bacterial SSU rRNA". It matches the Rfam family "Bacterial small subunit ribosomal RNA", at positions 56 to 731 of the family's 1533-position model. The record is from RNAcentral.
UGCAGUCGAGCGGGCAUCCUUGUGGUGUCAGCGGCAGACGGGUGAGUAACGCGUGGGAACGUGCCCUUCGGUUCGGAAUAACUCAGGGAAACUUGUGCUAAUACCGGAUACGCCCUUUUGGGGAAAGGUUUACUGCCGAAGGAUCGGCCCGCGUCUGAUUAGCUAGUUGGUGAGGUUAUGGCUCACCAAGGCGACGAUCAGUAGCUGGUCUGAGAGGAUGAUCAGCCACACUGGGACUGAGACACGGCCCAGACUCCUACGGGAGGCAGCAGUGGGGAAUAUUGGACAAUGGGGGCAACCCUGAUCCAGCCAUGCCGCGUGAGUGAUGACGGCCUUAGGGUUGUAAAGCUCUUUUCUCCGGGACGAUAAUGACGGUACCGGAGGAAUAAGCCCCGGCUAACUUCGUGCCAGCAGCCGCGGUAAUACGAAGGGGGCUAGCGUUGCUCGGAAUCACUGGGCGUAAAGGGCGCGUAGGCGGCUGAUUUAGUCGAGGGUGAAAGCCCGUGGCUCAACCACGGAAUGGCCUUCGAUACUGAUUGGCUUGAGACCGGAAGAGGACAGCGGAACUGCGAGUGUAGAGGUGAAAUUCGUAGAUAUUCGCAAGAACACCAGUGGCGAAGGCGGCUGUCUG